AUUUAUAUCUGUUUUAUCUUAUAUAUCUUCACUACUUUGUUUUAAUUCUUAACUAAUUAUGUUUUCAUUUUAACGCUAUGUCCUUGCGAAAGAAAACGGUGCUUAAAACAGAAAACAUCGUAGUUGAGGGCGUGUGCUUUUCCCGCAGAAAGCCUCACAAACUUCGGAUAUAUGUCUCUGUAACGAGCAGAAAGCCUUGCAUUGAAGACUAUGUGCUCUUUCACACCAUUCUUUCGAAUCUAUUCUAUGUACAUAUUUGUUUUUGUUUUGGUACUACUGCUAGGGACUGGUUUAUGUUAGUGUAACGG
This 308-nucleotide long non-coding RNA is filed under the name Androctonus crassicauda. The record is from RNAcentral. Lineage: Eukaryota; Metazoa; Arthropoda; Arachnida; Scorpiones; Buthidae.